RNAcentral lists this ribosomal RNA (897 nucleotides) under Mycothermus thermophilus. RNAcentral describes it as "partial large subunit ribosomal RNA". It matches the Rfam family "Eukaryotic large subunit ribosomal RNA", at positions 38 to 967 of the family's 3401-position model. Lineage: Eukaryota; Fungi; Ascomycota; Sordariomycetes; Sordariales; Chaetomiaceae. The record is from RNAcentral.
GCAUAUCAAUAAGCGGAGGAAAAGAAACCAACAGGGAUUGCCCUAGUAACGGCGAGUGAAGCGGCAACAGCUCAAAUUUGAAAGCUGGCCUUCGGGUCCGCGUUGUAAUUUGCAGAGGAAGCUUUGGGCGCGGCGCUGUCUGAGUCCCCUGGAACGGGGCGCCAAAGAGGGUGAGAGCCCCGUAUAGACGGAUGCCUAGCCUGUGUAAAGCUCCUUCGACGAGUCGAGUAGUUUGGGAAUGCUGCUCAAAAUGGGAGGUAAAUUUCUUCUAAAGCUAAAUACCGGCCAGAGACCGAUAGCGCACAAGUAGAGUGAUCGAAAGAUGAAAAGCACUUUGAAAAGAGGGUUAAAUAGCACGUGAAAUUGUUGAAAGGGAAGCGCUUGUGACCAGACUUGCGCCGGGCUGAUCAUCCGGUGUUCUCACCGGUGCACUCUGCCCGGCUCAGGCCAGCAUCGGUUCUCGCGGGGGGAUAAAGGCUUAGGGAAUGUAGCUCCUCCGGGAGUGUUAUAGCCCUCUGCGUAAUACCCUCGCGGGGACCGAGGUCUGCGCUCUGCAAGGAUGCUGGCGUAAUGGUCAUCAGCGACCCGUCUUGAAACACGGACCAAGGAGUCAAGGUUUUGCGCGAGUGUUUGGGUGUCAAACCCGCACGCGUAAUGAAAGUGAACGUAGGUGAGAGCUUCGGCGCAUCAUCGACCGAUCCUGAUGUACUCGGAUGGAUUUGAGUAAGAGCGUUAAGCCUUGGACCCGAAAGAUGGUGAACUAUGCUUGGAUAGGGUGAAGCCAGAGGAAACUCUGGUGGAGGCUCGCAGCGGUUCUGACGUGCAAAUCGAUCGUCAAAUCUGAGCAUGGGGGCGAAAGACUAAUCGAACCAUCUAGUAGCUGGUUACCGCCGAAGU